RNAcentral lists this ribosomal RNA (428 nucleotides) under uncultured bacterium. RNAcentral's name for it is "bacterial SSU rRNA". It matches the Rfam family "Bacterial small subunit ribosomal RNA", at positions 355 to 775 of the family's 1533-position model. The record is from RNAcentral.
UGGGGAAUAUUGGACAAUGGGCGAAAGCCUGAUCCAGCGACGCCGCGUGGGUGAAGAAGGCCUGCGGGUUGUAAAGCCCUUUCGGUUGGGAAGAAAAGUAUCGGCUUAACACGUCGGUACCUUGACGUAACCAACAAAAGAAGCACCGGCUAACUCUGUGCCAGCAGCCGCGGUAAUACAGAGGGUGCGAGCGUUAAUCGGAAUUACUGGGCGUAAAGCGCGCGUAGGCGGCUUGAUAAGUCGAGUGUGAAAUCCCCGGGCUUAACCUGGGACCUGCAUUCGAAACUGUCUUGCUAGAGUAUGGGAGAGGGAAGUGGAAUUUCAGGUGUAGCGGUGAAAUGCGUAGAUAUCUGAAGGAACAUCAGUGGCGAAAGCGACUUCCUGGACCAAUACUGACGCUCAGGUGCGAAAGCGUGGGGAGCAAACAG